This 234-nucleotide long non-coding RNA is filed under the name Sus scrofa (pig). RNAcentral describes it as "lncRNA (ENSSSCG00030030280.1)". The record is from RNAcentral. Lineage: Eukaryota; Metazoa; Chordata; Mammalia; Artiodactyla; Suidae.
UUAUGUCAUAAAGAAUUACUUCCACGUUCCUGUUAUGGGUCAUCCUGGUUAUUCUGCAGAGAAUAAGCUAUAAGAAGGCAAAUGUGGUAGCAGAGAUCCAUGAAAAAAAUGACAUGAUAAUGGAGAAGAUAAGAAAAUUUCCCACUUAUACACCCUGAUUUGGCAUUGCAUAUUUUAUUCCAUGUGCCAAUUUAUACUGAACUAAAUGACUUACUACCUCUUAAAGGCUUUUAA